GGAUCAGAUUGUCGGUCGUGCCUCGGUACGCACUGGUCAAAUUGAUUCCUACCUUCUGACGAACCACGAUGUCAUUAAUUUGGUGUCGCGGGAAAUCAGGACUGUUACUUUGAAAAAAUUAGAGUGUUUAAAGCAAGCUAACGCUUGAAUACAUUAGCAUGGAAUAAUGAAAUAGGACGUUCGAUCCUAUUUUGUUGGUUUCUAGGAUUGACGUA
Molecule: ribosomal RNA, 215 nt
Filed under: Campeiostachys nutans
Lineage: Eukaryota; Viridiplantae; Streptophyta; Magnoliopsida; Poales; Poaceae
Description: Elymus nutans partial small subunit ribosomal RNA
Rfam family: Eukaryotic small subunit ribosomal RNA (bases 42-215)
Source: RNAcentral